This 6185-nucleotide long non-coding RNA is filed under the name Malus domestica (apple). RNAcentral's name for it is "long non-coding RNA (MDOM_LNC010943)". Lineage: Eukaryota; Viridiplantae; Streptophyta; Magnoliopsida; Rosales; Rosaceae. The record is from RNAcentral.
UAUUCUAUAAAAUGACCCCUCACCCUCACAAUUAGAGGAGGCUAAUUCCUAGGCCUGAGAUCCCCUCUCUCACCCUCAGAAGCUCUCACCUUCUCCCUCUCUAUCCUCUCAGAGAAAUACAAUACAAUCAGUGUGGACGUAGCCCAAACCUUGGGGUGAACCACGACACAUCUUGUGUUAUUUACAUUUCAUGCAGAUUCACGGUCGGAUUUACGUUGUACCAAGACCUCCGGUUUUAUGCAUCAACAUUUGGCGCCGUCUGUGGGAAACGAUACGAAAAGUUAUGUCGGUUCUCUUUCAUUUUUUCACCUCCGCCGUGAAUCUGCAAAAUCACAAAAAAACCUUCGCAAGACUCCCUCUUUACUGAAAAUCUCUCCAAAUAAACACUCCAUUAAGUCUGCCAUCACUCUAGACAAAAAGCCAGAGCAAUUACUUAUCCAAUAGGUUAUUGAAGAAGAUGAACUCUCAAAGCGUCAAACACAUAUCAGAGUGUUUUAUCAUUCCACACCAUGUCUCAGAGGAAUCACAGCAGCCAUUAUACUUGGCACCCACUGACCUCGUCAUGCUCUCUGUCCACUAUAUCCAGAAAUGCCUCCUUGUUUAUUUUGGACAAGCUCAAGCAUUAUCUUUCCCUCUCUCUUGUUCACUUUGGCAUCAAUUCCACCGAUGUCAUCCUCGAGAUCGGUCCCGGUACUGGUAAUCUCACCAAGAAGCUUCUAGAAGCUAGUAAGAGGACGAAGUCGUUUCGCUUUCCGUCACCUCUGCGCCCCCAGAAAAAAGUACAGGGUUGAAGAAUAUUACAAGAAACAAGAAAGGCUUCUUGAAGGGUUCAAUGAGAUGGAGACCAUGACUGAAGAGGGUUGGUUGUCCACAAGUCUUAACAGAGCAGAAUCCGCAACAAUGAGCGACGGCGACAAGACUAGGACGAUGACUCCAAGUCGGACCGACAGCUUUCCGAUUCGGUGGACCCACUCCGUCUCAAGCUCCGGCUCCGUCUUCUUCUUGCUCGGGAUUCUUUCACCUGCGUCUCCGGCACCGAGUUUUCGACUUCUUCAGGACCGCCUGCAGAUCUAUCCCCACCAUCAUGGAAGUUUACAACGUCGACGACGACAACAACACCUGCCCUGUUUUGCGCCUCCCCUCACGCAACUCCACCUCCUCCUCGCCACCCUCUUCACCCUUCCAACCACCACUGCCCAAGGACCAAAUCUGCCACCUAAUCCACCGCUUGGACGCCUAUACCGAACCAUCUUCCUUCUUCGAUUCCCUUUCCAAGAUUACCUAGUUCGCAAGAUAGUGAAUGUUAGAUUGGUCCAUUUAGGAGCAACGAAGCUGAUGUCCAAGUUGCUAGAAACUGUGUCAUCGACGAAAGAAGGGCGGGGAAAGAUAUGCGAGGACGGCAAGUACGUGUCGAGGAUCGUGCAGAGAUUGCUGAAGGUGUCGAGUGCACGUGAGGGAGGUGAGCAUGCAGGUGGAGGCCAGAUAGGAGAAUCAUUUGAACGGAAGGAAGAAUCAUGGGGGAAUACAUGGGGGACAACGCAAGAGAAAAAGAAAAAGAAAAAGAAAAAGAAAAAGGGAAGAAAUGAGUAGAAAUGAGCGGCAACAGAAUAAUAAAAGCAGAAAGCAUGGCCACCCACUACUCGAUCAGCCUCGGAGAAAAUUGCAGAAAGCUGAGAAAAAUGAAAGCAAAAGCAAAAGAUUAUUCCCUUGUCUGUCAUCUGCCAAAAGAAAGAAAAAUAAAAGCAAAAUGGAGGCACAUGGGACACUAUAAAAGCAGGGAAUAAACAUCACACCAAAAUGAUGUAAUUUAUUUUAUCUUUCGGAGACAUCUGUAUAAACCUCAUUAGAGGGAGUAAUUAAAAAAAAAAACUGCAAGCCCAAAAUAAUGGGCUGCAAUGUCAUAUGGAGGGCGAAGGCCCAUAUGCCCAAAAGAGCCAGCCCAUCUAUUAUCACCAACCAGGUGAUCAAAAGUACGCUCGGAACUCCAACAUUAUUCGGCAACCUGCCACUAGUACCACCAACCAGGUGAUCAAAAGUAUGCCCAUUACUCCAAAAUUAUUCGGCAACCUGCCGCUAUUACCACCAACCAGGUGAUGAGAUGUACAACCCGUACUCUAAUAUCAUUUGGCAACUAGCCAUUCAUGCCACCAACCAGGUGAUGAAAUGUACAACCCGUACUCUAAUAUCAUUUGGCAACUAGCCAUUCAUGACACAACCAGGUGAUGAAAUGUAACCCGUACUCUCCUUCAUGCCACCAACCAGGUGAUCAAAAGUACGCCCAGUACUCCAAAUUAUACAUGAGCAUUACUCAUGUCAUUCAUACAUAAACAUUCAUGAGCAUCACUCAUGACAACAUCUAUGAGCAUCACUCAUGUCAAUCAACAUAAAUAUUCAUGAGCAUCACUCAUGUCAAUCAGCUUCAAAAGCUUCAUUUACAGAGCUCUAGCUUCAAAAGCUUAAUUUACAAAAGCUCUAGCUUCGAAAGCUUCAUUUACAGAGCUCUAGCUUCAAAGCCUCAGUGCAGGGUAUACAAAUACCACCUCCGAACAACCGCCACUUCGGCCCAUACAUGGAUUCAAUUUGAAGUCUCCAGCCAACAGACUCUAUUGACCGAAGACUUAGGGGACUACACUAUACACCAUAUAUUGGGCCUCAACUGGGCCUCAUGAAAAAUACUUGGGGGACUUAGCCCAUUAUUUAUGUAUUGAGGAGCGAGCCCUUAUUAUAUAAAAGGGACUCCCUCACUUUCAUUAGAGAGCACCCAUUAUUCAUAUACUGAGGAGCGAGCCCUUAUUUUAUAAAACGAACUCCCUCACCUUCAUUAGAGAGCAACGCCGCCAGCUGAGCAACCGCCUCGCCGCCAGCAUCACUCUUAACCCAUCACUUAUGUAUUGAUAAGCGAGCCCUUAUUCUAUAAAAGAAACUCCAUCACCACCAUUAAAGAGCAUCGCCGCCUACUGAGCAACCAUAUCGCCACGAGCAUCAACUCUAGCCCAUCAUUUAUGUAUUGAGGCGCGAGCCCUUAUUCUAUAAAAGGGACUCCCUCACAUUCGACGCCACAAGCCGAGCAGCCUCGCAACAUGUGCUACUUAUAGUUGAGCAUCAUUUCACUUUGAGCACCACCUCAUAUCAAGUAUCAGCUCAAGAUGACAUCUAGUUACUUCGGCCCACACAUGGACUGAAUUUCAAGUCUCCAGCCAAAAGACUCUCUUGACUGAAGACUUGGGGGACUACUGUUUAUAUCAUAUAUAGGGCAUCGUAUUUAGACCUCGUAUAAAUACUCGAGGAACUUAAAUGUAAUUAUGUAAUAAAGGAAGGGGCAAAUAUGUAAUAAGUGAAGAGUCAUUAUUCUAUAAAAUGAUGAGGCCAAUUCCUAAGCCUGAGAUCCCCUCUCUCACCCUCAGAAACUCUCACCCUCUCCCUCUCUAUCCUCUCAGAGAAAUACAAUACAAUCAGUGUGGACGUAGCCCAAACCUUGGGGUGAACCACGAUACAUCUUGUGUUAUUUACAUUUCAUGCAGAUUCACGGUCGGAUUUACGUUGUACCAAGACCUCCGGUUUUAUGCAUUAACAGUCUUCAUAAAUGGACUUUACUACUUGUGCAAGAAUCCAUUUUUACUCAAGCUCAAUCAUAGUCCAUUGAUAAAAACCAACUUUGGCAUAAGAGAUUAGCUCACCCCUCUGAGGUCGUCUUGUCAAAACUGUUCCCAAACUUUUGUAAAUCAUAGCUUACAUAUGAUACUUGUCAUUUUUCAAAAUUUGCUAGACUGCCUUUUGGCAAUUCAGUGUCUAGGACAAGUAAACCUUUUGAAAUGGUGCACAUUAAUGUAUGGGGACCAAAAAAUGAAAUGGAAGGAUUUAAGUACUUUGUCUUAUUUGUUGAUGACUUCUCUCGAGUGAGUUUUUUUAUAUCUUGUGAAAUCAAAUAGUGAAGUUCCAACCAUUUUCAAGAAUUUUCAUAUGCAUGUUAAAACACAAUUUCAAUCAAAUAUUUUUAAGAUCAGAUAACGACACUGAAUUUCUAUCCAACAACAUUCUUCAAUACAUAAGUUCUCAAGGUAUCGUCCAUCAAACCAGCUGUGUAAGGACCUCCCAACAAAAUGGAGUAGCCGAAAGGAAAAAUAGAGAUCUCUUGGAGACGACUCAUGCUCUCAUGAUACACAUGAAUGUCCCUAAAAAAAUUUGGUCGUUUACUAUCUCCACUGCCACUUACCUCAUCAACAUACUUCCAAGUCGUGUGCUAGGGUUUAAAUCUCCCUAUGAAGUACUCAAGGGUAGGCAAAUUGAUUUGACACACCUCAAGGUAUUUGGUUGUGUUUGCUUUGUUCACAUCCAAACUUUGAAUCGUGACAAACUAGAUGUCAGGGCAACCAAGUGUGUGUUUUUGGGUUACUCUUCUGCCCAAAAGAGAUACAAAUGCUUCAAUCUAGUCACUAAGAAGUGUCUAGUAUCAAGAGAUAUGAAGUUCAAAGAAGAUUGUCCUUAUUUCACUCAUACAAGUCAAGGGGAGAAACUAGUUGAUAUGUUUCCACUUCUUUAAAACUUCAAUCAUCAAGUGUUGAAGAGAGACUAGCCAUUAUGAUUCCAGAGCGCAAAAGAGUACAACUGACGUAAUCACUUCCAGGGAUCAAACUUGCAGUGAGAAAGACAUGGAGUCUCACUUAGAUCUUUCCCAAUCUUCUACAGAGCCUCAAAGGGUUAAGAGAAAUCCUCAUUGAACCAGAAAACCUCUAGCUAGGUUUCAGGACUACGUAACGUAUUCCUCACGGCAUCCUAUCACUGAAAGUAUCAGUCUUCGUGGGCUCUCUACAACUCAUGCUGCUUUUCUCUGUGAAAUUGAUAAGCAUUGUGAGCCAAGAAAUUUUCAAGAAGCAUCUUUACUUACACAAUGGAACCAAGCCAUGACAAAAGAGCUUCGUGCACUGGAAAAGAAUCACACUGGAGCUUGGUCCAACUAUCUCCAGGGAAAAAGGUUGUUGGAAGCCAUUGGAUUUACAAGACCAAGUUCAAAGCUGAUGGUUCAAUCAAGAGACACAAGGCUAGGCUUGUUGCUCGAGGUUUCACUCAAACAUUUGGAGUAAAUUAUAAGGAAACGUUUGCACCAGUGACCAAGAUGAACUCAGUAAGGGUUCUACUCUCGGUAGCAUUCAAUGGUGGAUGGUUCAUUUACCAAAUGGACGUGAAGAAAGCUUUACUUCACAGAGAGUUAUAGGAAGAAGUGUAUAUGCAGCCCCCCCGGGGUAUAAUCAUAUUGAAGGCAAUAUGGUUUGUAAAUUACACAAGGCAAUAUAUGAAUUGAAACAAUCCUCACGAGCUUGGUACGCCAAGCUUAGUUCUGUACUAGAGAAGGCUGGUUUCCUGCGAAGUAAUGUUGAUUCUUCAUUAUUUGUAAGAACCGACACUAGUGAAAAGUUGGUGGUUCUUAUCUACGUUGAUGAUCUUAUCAUCACUGGAGAUAGUGCCGUUGAGAUUGAAGCACUGAAGCUCUCCUUACAUCAAACCUUUGAUAUCAAAGAUUUGAGAAAGUUAAAGUAUUUUUUGGGCAUUGAAAUGGCAACAUCUUCAAAUGGAUUGUUUCUACAUCAACGAAAAUACGUAUUGGACCUACUUCAAGAAGCCAAAAUACUAGACUGCAAACCUGCUAUCACCCCCGUUGAUUGUAAACUGAAGCUCAACAUCGAUGGAGAAGCCAUGCAUGAUGUGAGCUACUAUCAAGGCUUGGUGGGGAAGCUAAUAUACCUCACCAUCACGCGUUCAGAUAUCACAUAUGCAAUGAGCUUGGCUAGUCAAUUUAUGCACUAUCCCACUGUGGAUCACCUUAGCAUUGUCAAGAAAAUAUUGCGCUACCUCAAGGGUUUCCAUAUGGUGAGGAAUUAUCAUGCACAACAAUCAGUCUACUGACAUUAGUGGUUACACAAAUGCAGACUGGGCAGGAAAUGCAAUUGAUAGGAAAUCUACCACAGGCUAUUGUACAUUUGUUGGUGGAAAUCUCAUCACAUAGAAGAGCAAAAAGCAACAGGACAUUGCUCGAUCUAGCGCAAAGGCAGAAUAUAAAGCCAUGGCAGCUAAUACUGCCUGUGAACUAAUUUGGCUUAAAGGGCUUCUUUCAAACUUAGGGUUCCCUAGUUUUACUCAUAUGUUCCUUAUGUGCGAUAAUCAGGCAGCCAUGCACAUUGAUGACAACC